GGGUCGAAAAUCUAAGGUUUCUUGAGGAAGGUUCGUCCGCUCAAGGUAAGCCGGGAGCUAAGGCGAGGCCGAGAGGCGUAGUCGAUGCACAUACGGUAAAGAUUCCGUAGCCACCGAAGUCGUUAAAUACAGGGACACAGGAACAUAGCCUAACCCCGCCGUUGGUUGAGUGGGGCGUAAGGGAGCGAAAAUUAGUAGCGAAGUAGGUGAUUGUACACUGGCGAGAAAAGCUGUAUGUAUUGAUAAGGUGCCCGUACCGCAAACCGACACAGGUAGAUGAGGAGAGAAUCCUAAGACCAGCGGGAGAAGUGUUGUUAAGGAACUCGGCAAAAUGACCCCGUAACUUCGGGAUAAGGGGAGCCUACGCGAGUAGGCCGCAGAGAACAGUCUCAAGCGACUGUUUAGCAAAAACACAGGUCUAUGCUAAAUCGAAAGAUGAUGUAUAUGGGCUGACGCCUGCCCGGUGCUGGAAGGUUAAGGGGAAGUGUUAGAGCAAUCGAAGCACUGAACUUAAGCCCCAGUAAACGGCGGCCGUAACAAUAACGGUCCUAAGGUAGCGAAAUUCCUUGUCAGGUAGUUCUGACCCGCACGAAUGGCGUAACGACUUGAGAGCUGUCUCAACAACAUACCCGGCGAAAUUGAAGUACUGGUAAAGAUGCCAGUUACCCGUGAUAAGACGGAAAGACCCCAUGGAGCUUUACUGUAACUUGAUAUUGAAUUUUUGUAUUACAUGUACAGGAUAGGUGGGAGACAGAGAACCAAUGCCGCCAGGUGUUGGGGAGUCGAUGUUGGGAUACCACUCUUGUAAUAUGAAGGUUCUAACCUGCACCCGUGAAUCCGGGUGGGGGACACUGUCAGGUGGACAGUUUGACUGGGGCGGUCGCCUCCUAAUAGGUAACGGAGGCGUUCAAAGGUUGGUUCAGCACGGACGGAAAUCGUGCAACGAGUGCAAACGCAUAAACCAGCCUAACUGCGAGACCGACAAGUCGAGCAGUAACGGAAGUUGGAGUUAGUGAUCCGGCGGUAUGAGAGUGGAAUUGCCGUCGCUCAACGGAUAAAAGCUACCCUGGGGAUAACAGGCUGAUCUCCCCCAAGAGUCCACAUCGACGGGGAGGUUUGGCACCUCGAUGUCGGCUCAUCGCAUCCUGGAGCUGUAGUCGGUUCCAAGGGUUGGGCUGUUCGCCCAUUAAAGCGGUACGCGAGCUGGGUUCAGAACGUCGCGAGACAGUUCGGUCCCUAUCUAUCACGGGCGUAGGAAAUUUGAGGAGAGCUGACCUUAGUACGAGAGGACCGGGUUGGACGUACCGCUGGUGCACCUGUUGUUCUGCCAAGGGCAUAGCAGGGUAGCUAAGUACGGACGGGAUAAACGCUGAAGGCAUCUAAGCGUGAAGCCCCCUUCGAGAUAAGAUUUCCCAUAGCGUAGGCUAGUAAGGACCCAUGAAGACUACAUGGUUGAUAGGCCGGAGGUGGAAGUGCAGUAAUGUAUGCAGCUAACCGGUACUAAUAGUCCGAGGGCUUGACCU
RNAcentral lists this ribosomal RNA (1523 nucleotides) under metagenome. RNAcentral's name for it is "bacterial LSU rRNA". It matches the Rfam family "Bacterial large subunit ribosomal RNA", at positions 1334 to 2925 of the family's 2925-position model. The record is from RNAcentral.